Xenopus laevis (African clawed frog) is the source of this 86-nucleotide non-coding RNA. The record is from Rfam. Lineage: Eukaryota; Metazoa; Chordata; Amphibia; Anura; Pipidae.
CCUUCGAUAGCUCAGCUGGUAGAGCGGAGGACUGUAGAGGGAACAUAGAAAUCCUUAGGUCGCUGGUUCAAUUCCGGCUCGAAGGA